GGUAAGCUGCCUCCUGUGAUCCAAUGUUCAGUCAGUGGCAAAAUGACUCCUGAGCAGUGGAGUAAGGUGACCAAGGAAUCAAUAGACUGAAUUAGUCUGGACUCUAUCAACUUGAGAAGUCAUGUUGCUACUUUUGGCCUUUGCAUGUGACAAGCUGGCCUGGAGCUGCUGCCAUGGUGGUCUGGAGAAUGCAUCCUCUGAUCUUCAACACAGAAGGCAGAGACCAAUGAGACCCCAGCUGCUGAGCUGUGACAUCCACUGGAUUAAUUUGUAUGAAGGCUUUGUCUCCUGUGGAAACAGUACUGCCAAGUGACCUCCACCACUUUGAAAAUCAACAUUGAGUCCACUUUAAGGGAAUGUGUCUUGACAAAUAGUUCUUUGUUCCAUAGAAAGUAAUGGAAGGACUCUUGUAAUAUGAGAGGGGGUGUAAGCCUUUGAAAAUAAAACAAAUUUUUUUGUUGCAAGAAAUAAUUUUGAGAGGAGCCCUUCAUAUCCUUAUGCAUAUGAAUUAUACGGUAGAAAUCAAAGGAUCUACAGGGUCUUGCAGUCUACAGAGGACAGAAAGGAAGAUGUCUUGAAAAUUUAGCAAAACAAGAUACAGUGCUUAAUGCUCUGCAUACUUUAAGUAAUCUUUAUAAUACCCCAUGAAGGAGGAAAUAUCAUCUUCAUUAAGG
Molecule: long non-coding RNA, 674 nt
Organism: Cavia porcellus (domestic guinea pig)
Lineage: Eukaryota; Metazoa; Chordata; Mammalia; Rodentia; Caviidae
Exons: 3
Source: RefSeq, a predicted model, not a curated record